CUCACACCCAAGGAGACAUAGAGAACCAUUUGGUUCUUUAAGGCACUAUCCAUCAACAAGUAAACAAUAAAAGAAAUAAAAUUUUCAUAGGACAGAACCAGAAAGUUCUAAGGAGAUCUGACAUUGCUAAAGCUCAAAGUGUCAAACUAUGGAUCCUUCUCAGAAUCUUAAUCCGAAAGGGUACCAGAGACAAAGACCGUUUAGCUCAGCCGGCGAAGGCGGCAGCAGCGGCGGCUCCGGUAUGCCUCAAGAAACAGAUGACAAUAAGAAGCAGAAGAAGCUUCUCCACCGCGACAUCGAACGCCAAAGAAGACAAGAAAUGGCUACACUCUUCGCUGCUCUUCGUACUCACCUACCUCUCCAAUACAUCAAGGGAAAAAGAGCUGUUUCGGAUCAUGUUAACGGAGCGGUGAAUUUCAUUAAGGACACGGAAACACGGAUUAAGGAACUCAGUGCAAGAAGAGACGAACUCAUUAAAGAAACGGGUCAGAAAUAUCAAUCGAAUCCGGAUCCAGCAAGAACUGAAUCCGAUUUGCCUAAAUCGGAUCCGGCGACUGUGAUGGUGCAACCACACGUGAGCGGCUUAGAAGUGGUGGUGAGCAGCAACUCCUCAGGUCCCGAAGCUUUGCUCCUCUCAAGAGUGCUUGAGACACUUCAAGAGAAAGGGCUUGAAGUCGUCAGCUCUCUCACGACAAGAGUCAAUGAGAGGCUCAUGCACACUAUUCAAGUUGAGGUUAAUAGUUUCGGAUGCAUCGACUUAGCUUGGUUGCAGGAGAAGCUAGUUGAGGAUUUGAUACUUUCAACAGGGUACUGAUCAUCAGAAACAUAGCAUUCGUAGUCCUAAAGACCUUCUUCAUAUCGUAUGAUCUCUUUUACCCGAGGUCUUUGUUUCGUUAUAUUAAGAAAUAUCUAAGUCUUCUUGAAGUUUCAUCUUGAGAGCAAGGAAGGUAGGUUCAUUUGUGGAUUGAGGUGUAGCUUUGGUUUAAACAAGUUCAAGUGCGUACUAUGCUGUUAUAUUUCAAACGGAUAUUAUGGGCGGGUCAAAACUUCACCAUCAUUCACCGCCACGCAGUAAAAGACCAAGGGUGUGAUGUUUUCAAUAUACCAUUAUUUUUUCACAAGCAAGUCAAUUUUUUGUUUCCCUUGUAACAUUUUUUCUUAUUCCGUUGGUUAUUAUGUUUAAUUUCUUGUGGUUUGUUUUAGUAUGGAAAUCAAGUUUUAACCAACGUAUAUGUAUAUCCAUAAAUCAUUAAAAGUUAUAUUCGAAGGGAACUAAGAAA
This is an RNA transcript of Camelina sativa (false flax), 1280 nucleotides long. It is a transcript of the gene named transcription factor bHLH126-like, with no coding region annotated. The record is from RefSeq and is a predicted model, not a curated record. NCBI's taxonomy places the organism in Eukaryota, Viridiplantae, Streptophyta, Magnoliopsida, Brassicales, Brassicaceae.